RNAcentral lists this transfer RNA (71 nucleotides) under Candidatus Altimarinota bacterium. RNAcentral describes it as "tRNA-Trp". It matches the Rfam family "tRNA". From Rfam's summary of the family: Transfer RNA (tRNA) molecules are approximately 80 nucleotides in length. Their secondary structure includes four short double-helical elements and three loops (D, anti-codon, and T loops). RNAcentral also lists the same sequence under 5 other names. Lineage: Bacteria; Candidatus Altimarinota. The record is from RNAcentral.
GCAGGGAUGGUGUAACGGCAACAUCUCGAUCUCCAAAAUCGAUGUUCUAGGUUCAAAUCCUAGUCUCUGCG